Molecule: long non-coding RNA, 905 nt
Filed under: Pan troglodytes (chimpanzee)
Lineage: Eukaryota; Metazoa; Chordata; Mammalia; Primates; Hominidae
Description: long non-coding RNA NONPTRT010331
Source: RNAcentral
UUCUUGCCAACAGGGCUGCUCUUGUAACCUGAGGGAGUAAAACAGAAGGACCUGCCUUGACCUUCCAUUUUUCAAGGGGACUGGAUGCUAAGGGGCCAGAAGGACUUUGUUAAAACCUCAUUCUCAAGAAACAGUUUCCUGACAUAGCUCCUAGGGCAGUGACCUGACAGGGCAUCUCUGUAAAACUUUCCCCAGAUGUUGCUAUCUUAAGCAAGGCACAGUUUGCUGGCUGUAGUGGCCAUGAGCAACAUCUGUAAGGCUGAGGAACCAGGAGCCAGGUGAGUCUCAGAGAGAAAGAGGGUGAAGGAGAGGGUAAGAAGGUAAUGUGUGAGCAUCCAAAUCCUACCAUAAUGUGCCCCCAGAGAGAGAGAGGACAUCAGAUUGCUGUCCUGAAAGAAAAAAAAAAAGUUUUUCUUAACAAGAAAAUGCUUUUGGAAAUGUCUAGCACCUUGCUUUUCUCUUGCUGCACCUGAAAGCAGAGGUAUCCUCGUAGUGACACCAUCGACCCGCACAAGCGGAUACUAUAAGCAAAAGUAAACAGUUUGGCAAAUGUCCCACAGCCUGCUUGUCCUGGGGUGUGUGCCUCCACGGUUAGAUGGGAGCCUGUCUCCUAGGAAAUAUGCAAAUGAAAAAGAAAGCAAAAAAAAAAAAAAAAAAAAAAAAAGCAUGCUGCAAAGUCAAGCCUAAAAAUUUCAGAAACGAUCUAGUUUUACUUAAAAAAAAAAAAAAAAAGAUAGAGGAACUCCAACUCACUAAUAAGCACAAGAGCAUUUCCCCUCUUAUUUACUUGUUUAUUAGCCUGUUUUGGUAAGGAAAGCUGCGCCAACUGUGCCCCAGGCUCACGUAAUCUGGAUUUGAUCAAGAUCUCCAGACAAUUGUGGCCGCAACUUUACACCUCCCCCAAU